CGUUCGUAGUUGAAUUUGUGCUUCAUACGGGUAGUACAACUAUAAUUGUGGAUUGUACAUUACCUUAUGUAUGCAAGCGUAUUACCGGUGGAGUUCUAAUAUUUAAUGGUACUUGUAUCAUUAUCUAUACCUCCUAUUUAAACCUGCUUCAGUGCUCUUCAUCGAGUGUUGUUGUGGGCCGGUACAAUUACUUUGAACAAAUUAGAGUGCUUAAAGCAGGCUCCAAAUGCCUGAAUAUUUUGUGCAUGGAAUAAUGAAAUAAGACCUCUGUUCUACUUUCAUUGGUUUUUAGAUCAAGAGGUAAUGAUUAAUAGAAGCAGUUUGGGGGCAUUAGUAUUACGACGCGAGAGGU
RNAcentral lists this ribosomal RNA (352 nucleotides) under Sphegina sibirica. RNAcentral's name for it is "SSU rRNA". It matches the Rfam family "Eukaryotic small subunit ribosomal RNA", at positions 625 to 912 of the family's 1831-position model. The record is from RNAcentral. Lineage: Eukaryota; Metazoa; Arthropoda; Insecta; Diptera; Syrphidae.